This is a long non-coding RNA of Alexandromys fortis (reed vole), 1602 nucleotides long. RefSeq lists it as uncharacterized. NCBI's taxonomy places the organism in Eukaryota, Metazoa, Chordata, Mammalia, Rodentia, Cricetidae. The record is from RefSeq and is a predicted model, not a curated record. The transcript is spliced from 7 exons.
CUCAAGUACUGGCUUCAAAGGGUUGUGUGAAUGCAGUGAAAAGCCUUCACUGCAUAGUGUAAGACAGGCUUUGCCUCUAAGUGUGUUUCAAGCAGCAGCAGCAGUUCCAGAUUCUACCAUAUAUGAGAUUAAAAUCCUUGGGACGCUGUUGAACCACUGCUAUCUAUGAAAUCAUGGAGACUAUUCUUGUCAGGCACAGUUACCAGCUUUCUAUCACAAGAGAUUACAUUACAUUUCCUGUCAUUUAUGGAAAUAAAUUCAAACACUGAAUAAUAUUCCAUUGUGUACCACAUUUUCAUUAUCAAAUCAUCAGUUGAUGGAUGUCGUGGCUGUUUCCAUUUCCUGGCUAUUUGACUUGGCUUCUAAUGUCAAAAAUAAUGAAAUGCCAGUUCCAAGAUUAUCAUAUGACUGUGCCUUCUGCCACGAUCAGACUUCUGGUCUCGCAUUUGCUCAUUCCGACGAAGAACUUUGUCAUGUUGUAUCCUAUAGAGAGGCUCACAUCUUCAGAAGGAAAUGCAGAAAAACCAGGAAGAAGACAAUCUUGUGAGCUAAAAAGUUCCACCCCAGUAUCUGGAACCAACUAAGAGACAAGCCUCUGGGCAGGCCUGGGAGGGAGUACUGUGGUUAAGUUAACCGAGGUGAGAAGAACCAGCCUCAUCGUGAUGGUGCCAUUCCCUGACCUUGUGUCCUGAACCGCUCAAGAAGGAAAGAGGCAGCUGCACACCCAAGCUCAUCGUAAUCUGCUUCCUGACUGCAGAUGUAACGUGUAGACAAGUUCCUGCCACCCGCAUUCCUGCCACAGGAAACUGUCCCUUCACACUGUUUGCCAAAAUAAAUGCUUUCUCCCAGAAGUUGCUUUUGUCAGGGUGUUUUAUCAGAGCCACAAGAAAAGGAACUAAGACAUCCUCUUAGACUGAUACUUUAUUUGUGCUUAUUUUUUUCAAUAAACCACACGUCUUAAUACCAUUCCUCCCUGAACUGUCUUUGCCCUGACUCUGUCAGUCCUACUAGAAGCAGACAGUAAAACCCACAUGCUGCAAUAUAUUUUGUAGUUUCCUCUAGCAGAUAAACUAGUCUGUCAACUUUAAGUUAGGCUUCCCACAGAAAUCUCUGAAAUGGACAAGAUGCCUCCAGAUUAGUGGCCACAGUAGAACAUGAGUGGCCUGUAGAACAAUUUCUGUCAGAUUGCUCAUCUUUAUCUGAAAUCUCAUCAGCCUAGCUGUUAUUGGUCAGCAUUCUAAUCCACUGAGCCAUCACAGAGUCACCCCUGAAGUCACUUGCAGCAUUAUAGGCUUUCUUGAGUUUGGUUGGCCAACGUUUUCCAAAUUCUUGCUGCAAACCAAUACCAAUGCUCUUCCACAACGUUUUAGGCCCAGCAAUAGCUGUCCUCUUUCUCUUUUUUUUUUUUUCACAACAAAAUAUACUUUCUAUUUCCAAAUAUUUUUACCAAAUUUGUUCUUUAGUAAUUGUCCAAAUGUACAUAAUGCAUACUGACCACCCUUGUAGCCUACCCUCUCCCAUCUUUGUAUGAUUCCAUCGUGUACAUUUUUAAUUCACUCAUCCCAUUAAAGUCUGCCAUCAUCGUGUAAGCCAAAGAAUGAU